AUACGGAGGGUGCAAGCGUUGUUCGGAAUCACUGGGCGUAAAGGGCGCGCAGGCGGUUUGGUAAGUCAGAUGUGAAAGCCCACGGCUCAACCGUGGACGUGCAUUUGAAACUGUCAGACUUGAGUACUAGAGGGGAAAGUGGAAUUCCCGGUGUAGAGGUGAAAUUCGUAGAUAUCGGGAGGAAUACCGGUGGCGAAGGCGACUUUCUGGCUAGAUACUGACGCUGAGGCGCGAAAGCGUGGGGAGCAAACAGGAUUAGAAACCCUAGUAGUCC
This 274-nucleotide ribosomal RNA is filed under the name uncultured bacterium. RNAcentral's name for it is "partial 16S ribosomal RNA". It matches the Rfam family "Bacterial small subunit ribosomal RNA", at positions 523 to 796 of the family's 1533-position model. The record is from RNAcentral.